UAAGUUUUAUUUGUUUAUGAUUUGGUAUUGCAUAUCAUUUAAGGAAAAUUUUAUGAUUAUAAAUAAUAAAAUUGGGGUGUAGAAAAAUUUGUUAUUUUUAUUGUUUCAUAAUAGGAAUUAUAAUUUUUAGGGUUGAAAAGUCGAACCCCAGGAUAUUUGUGUUGUUUUUAGAAUUAGAAAAUUAUUUUGUUUAAGUAUUUAUAUUAUAAAAAGUAAGAGUUGAAGUAUCUUUUUUCUUAGUUUUAUAACAGUUUAUUUUUGAUGUAAUAUAAUUUUAUAUGAGUGUGUAAUAAUGUUUUAUUAUAUUAAUUGUUUUGAAAUUAGUAAUUGAGGUUAUAAAUUAAGUAUUUGUGUUAAAUAUAAUUGAAAAACUCAAAAAUUAAUCAAAUGUUUUUUAAAGACUUAGACUUUUUUAUAAAGUUUGCUUCUGCCCGGUGACGUAUGUUAAAUGGCAGUCUUAGCGUGAGGACAUUAAGGUAGCAAAAUAAUUUGUGCUUUUAUUGGGUUCCAGUAUGAAUGAAGUUAUUGGUUAAUUUAUGUUUUGAUUUUUGAAUGAAUUUUUAAUUAAUAAUAAGAAAAUGUUGUUAUAGUAAUACAAAGAUAAGUCUUCGGAAAUUCUUUUUUAAAAAUGAUAAUUAUCAUUUUUAAAAAUUUUCUAGGGCAGAAUUUUAUAUAACUAUAAUAUCUAUUUAUAAUUAAGUGAAUUACUCCGGAGUUAACAGAAAAUCAUAUCUAAUCUAGUUCUUAUAGUAAGAUAAGUUUUACAUCGAUGUUGUAUUUAAGUUUAUUAAAAAGGGAGAAAAUUUAAAUUUUAAGACUGUUCUUCUUUUAAUUAAUUUAACGUGAUAUUAGUUUAAUUCAUUGUGAGAUAGAAUUGUUUAUCUUGUUUAUUAUUUUUAAAAAGUUUUAAUAGUACGAAAGGAAAAUUAAAAAAAGUUUUAAACUUUUAAAAGAUAAUUCUUA
RNAcentral lists this ribosomal RNA (963 nucleotides) under Oesophagostomoides longispicularis. Its description in RNAcentral is "large subunit ribosomal RNA". The record is from RNAcentral. Lineage: Eukaryota; Metazoa; Nematoda; Chromadorea; Rhabditida; Strongylidae.